CCUACGGGAGGCUGCAGUGGGGAAUAUUGGACAAUGGGGGGAACCCUGAUCCAGCCAUGCCGCGUGUGUGAAGAAGGCCCUCGGGUUGUAAAGCACUUUCAGUGAGGAAGAACGCCUGGUGGUGAAUACCCAUCAGGAAAGACAUCACUCACAGAAGAAGCACCGGCUAACUCCGUGCCAGCAGCCGCGGUAAUACGGAGGGUGCGAGCGUUAAUCGGAAUUACUGGGCGUAAAGCGCGCGUAGGUGGCUUGAUAAGCCGGUUGUGAAAGCCCCGGGCUCAACCUGGGAACGGCAUCCGGAACUGUCAAGCUAGAGUGCAGGAGAGGAAGGUAGAAUUCCCGGUGUAGCGGUGAAAUGCAUAGAGAUCGGGAGGAAUACCAGUGGCGAAGGCGGCCUUCUGGACUGACACUGACACUGAGGUGCGAAAGCGUGGGUAGCAAACAGGAUUAGAUACCCUGGUAGUC
This 465-nucleotide ribosomal RNA is filed under the name Vreelandella stevensii. RNAcentral's name for it is "partial 16S ribosomal RNA". It matches the Rfam family "Bacterial small subunit ribosomal RNA", at positions 338 to 795 of the family's 1533-position model. Lineage: Bacteria; Pseudomonadati; Pseudomonadota; Gammaproteobacteria; Oceanospirillales; Halomonadaceae. The record is from RNAcentral.